CCGGAUACCUAUCACAGGAGGAAUUUGAUUUCCUAUUUGAAAUACAUCCAAGAUGUCCCAUACUAUACACUCUCCCAAAGGUUCAUAAAAAUCCUGUACAAUCUCCUGGUCGUCCCAUUGUGUCUCCAUAGAAGGGUUAUUAGAACCCAUUGGCAAAUGGUUGGAUAAUAUAUUCAAAAAACCAGUGAUGAAGUUACCAACAUGUGUUAAAGACACCUCAGCAGUGAUUAAGGAACUGCAACGCAUUGCAGUACCACAGGAAGGGAUCCUCCUAGCCACCAUUGAUGUCAGUAGCCUAUAUACUAUAAUCCCUCACAAGGAAGGUAUACAAGCAAUGAGGGAAGUAUUGUUAUAAUACAGUGAAAAAGUCUCU
Pelobates cultripes (western spadefoot toad) is the source of this 373-nucleotide non-coding RNA. NCBI's taxonomy places the organism in Eukaryota, Metazoa, Chordata, Amphibia, Anura, Pelobatidae. The record is from the annotation of a GenBank genome assembly.